This 80-nucleotide transfer RNA is filed under the name Ipomoea nil (Japanese morning glory). It matches the Rfam family "tRNA". Rfam says of the family: Transfer RNA (tRNA) molecules are approximately 80 nucleotides in length. The record is from Rfam by way of RNAcentral. Lineage: Eukaryota; Viridiplantae; Streptophyta; Magnoliopsida; Solanales; Convolvulaceae.
GACGGUUUGGCCGAGUGGUCUAAGGCGCCAGAUUUAGGCUCUGGUCCGAAAGGGCGUGGGUUAAAAUCCCACAGCCGUCA